AAUGAACGUUGGCGGCGUGGAUUAGGCAUGCAAGUCGUACGCAUAGCUUCGGCUAUGAGUGGCGCAAGGGUGAGUAAUGCGAAGGUAACCAACCCUGGUGUUGGGCAUAGCCGCGGGAAACUGCGGGUAAUUCCCAGCGACGUCACGAGAUGGCAUCAUCUUGUGACCAAAGGUGUGAUUCCGCUCUAGGACGGGCCUUCGUGGUAUUAGGUAGUUGGUGAGGUAACGGCCCACCAAGCCGACGAUGCCUACCGGGUGUGAGAGCAUGACCCGGCACACUGGAACUGAGACACUGUCCAGACACUUACGGGUGGCUGCAGUCGAGAAUCUUCGGCAAAUGGGCGAAAGCCUGACCGAGCGACGCCGCGUGAGGGAUUGAAGGCCUUCGGGUUGUAAACCUCUUUCGUAGAGGAGGAAGGGGCCGUAGAAGAACGGUC
This 437-nucleotide ribosomal RNA is filed under the name uncultured bacterium. RNAcentral's name for it is "bacterial SSU rRNA". It matches the Rfam family "Bacterial small subunit ribosomal RNA", at positions 29 to 468 of the family's 1533-position model. The record is from RNAcentral.